RNAcentral lists this ribosomal RNA (253 nucleotides) under uncultured bacterium. RNAcentral describes it as "partial 16S ribosomal RNA". It matches the Rfam family "Bacterial small subunit ribosomal RNA", at positions 524 to 776 of the family's 1533-position model. The record is from RNAcentral.
UACGUAGGGGGCAAGCGUUGUCCGGAAUCAUUGGGCGUAAAGCGCGUGUAGGCGGCUCGAUAAGUCUGCUGUGAAAGUCCAGGGCUCAACCCUGGGAUGCCGGUGGAUACUGUCGAGCUCGAGUCCGGAAGAGGCGAGUGGAAUUCCUGGUGUAGCGGUGAAAUGCGCAGAUAUCAGGAGGAACACCAGUGGCGAAGGCGGCCACCUGGACGGUUACUGACGCUGAGACGCGAAAGCGUGGGGAGCAAACAGG